This is a long non-coding RNA of Nothoprocta perdicaria, 223 nucleotides long. RefSeq lists it as uncharacterized. The transcript is spliced from 3 exons. The record is from RefSeq and is a predicted model, not a curated record. Lineage: Eukaryota; Metazoa; Chordata; Aves; Tinamiformes; Tinamidae.
CAUCUUGUUCCCGCUGGUGUCACAGGAAACAAAGGCUGGAUGGUGAAGUCCUGAGUCUCUAUCUGUGAAGCACUGUAGCUUUCUUCCUACUGACAUCACCUGUCAGAACUGAACUGGAUCUGCAUUUAUGUUGGCACUCUUCUUUUCUUAUGUUGUUUGGCUUGUGAGAAAGCUGUUGCAUAAGGAUUUCUAUACUCUGUCACAUUGGCUCCACCAUUCGAGA